RNAcentral lists this ribosomal RNA (303 nucleotides) under uncultured bacterium. RNAcentral's name for it is "partial 16S ribosomal RNA". It matches the Rfam family "Bacterial small subunit ribosomal RNA", at positions 507 to 807 of the family's 1533-position model. The record is from RNAcentral.
AGCAGUAGCCGCGGUAAUACGAAGGGGGCUAGCGUUGCUCGGAAUGACUGGGCGUAAAGGGCGCGUAGGCGGCGGCCAAAGUCAGGCGUGAAAUUCCCGGGCUCAACCUGGGGGCUGCGUUUGAUACUUGGUUGCUUGAGUGGGGAAGAGGGUCGUGGAAUUCCCAGUGUAGAGGUGAAAUUCGUAGAUAUUGGGAAGAACACCGGUGGCGAAGGCGGCAACCUGGUCCUUGACUGACGCUGAGGCGCGAAAGCGUGGGGAGCAAACAGGAUUAGAUACCCCAGUAGUCCCUGUCUCUUAUAC